UACGUAGGUGGCGAGCGUUGUCCGGAAUCACUGGGUGUAAAGCGCGUGUAGGCGGUCGGCCAAGUCGGCGGUGAAAGCGCCCGGCUCAACUGGGCGAGGUCCGUGGAAACUGGUCGACUGGAGGACGGUAGAGGCGAGUGGAAUUCCCGGUGUAGUGGUGAAAUGCGUAGAGAUCGGGAGGAACACCAGUGGCGUAGGCGGCUCGCUGGGCCGGUCCUGACGCUGAGACGCGAAGGCGUGGGGAGCGAACGGG
Molecule: ribosomal RNA, 253 nt
Filed under: uncultured bacterium
Lineage: Bacteria
Description: partial 16S ribosomal RNA
Rfam family: Bacterial small subunit ribosomal RNA
Source: RNAcentral